GGUUGUACAAGGUGGUUGUAGCUCUUCCGCUUCUAUGCGUGGGUGGUAGCGAUUGAGGACACGUUUGAGGAUUACGCGAUUUCUGCUGUCCUAGGCAUUGCUAGACAUGUGAAGAAAGAAACCGAAACCCCUGUCCUGUCCUGUUUACCACCGUUCGUAUGCUCCCUGUUGUACGCGCAAUGUGGGAACGCAGACGCCGACUUUUAUUAUGUCUUUACAUGUUGCUUCUUCUUAAGAAGAAGCGACAAAUAGAAAAAAGAAGGGAAAGACAGCGACGUCUGCGCCGGGCUGAGAAACGAAGAAGGGAACAAAGACGAUCCCAUUCGUUACAGCACAGGUUGCCGCCUUCAUCGUCAGCAACCACGCAGAACAGGCUCGUAGGCAAUAUCCUUCGGGAGCGCUCCAUAGGCACGCAGAUAUAUCCUCCCAAGUGUUCCAGAAGCACGCAGACAUCGGAAGCAUCCAGCGCGUUGGUGAAGCAAGAAGCUCUAGAUGAUUCCUGUGACAGCUUCAAGAUAGGGCACGAAGAAUGUUCGCAGUGAACAAAGACGCUCUUCGCGAGGAAAAGUCCCACAAUCACGGUACUUGAGCACUCAUCGCGGAACCACGUUGGAAUCAACUACAUGAUCUGCGCUCUUGGAGAAAAGGUGGAACAGAUUUCACACGUGCCAGGAGAACAACUUCGUCUUUCAUGUCACAAUGUGUAGAACAAUAUGUAGAACAAUGUCAAAUUAAAAACUCCUUCAUUUUUG
Long non-coding RNA from Ornithodoros turicata, 752 nucleotides. RefSeq lists it as uncharacterized. The transcript has 4 exons. NCBI's taxonomy places the organism in Eukaryota, Metazoa, Arthropoda, Arachnida, Ixodida, Argasidae. The record is from RefSeq and is a predicted model, not a curated record.